GGGAUGGACGCACCGCUGGUGUACCAGUUGUUCUGCCAAGGGCAUCGCUGGGUAGCUAUGUGCGGACGGGAUAAGUGCUGAAAGCAUCUAAGCAUGAAGCCCCCCUCAAGAUGAGAUUUCCCAUUCCUAUAAGGAAGUAAGAUCCCUGAAAGAUGAUCAGGUUGAUAGGUCUGAGGUGGAAGUGUGGCGACACAUGGAGCUGACAGAUACUAAUCGAUCGAGGACUUAACCUAAA
This 235-nucleotide ribosomal RNA is filed under the name Bacillus sp. (in: firmicutes). Its description in RNAcentral is "Bacillus sp. (in: Bacteria) partial 23S ribosomal RNA". It matches the Rfam family "Bacterial large subunit ribosomal RNA", at positions 2694 to 2925 of the family's 2925-position model. Lineage: Bacteria; Bacillati; Bacillota; Bacilli; Caryophanales; Bacillaceae. The record is from RNAcentral.